RNAcentral lists this transfer RNA (66 nucleotides) under Geomydoecus aurei. RNAcentral's name for it is "tRNA-Tyr". The record is from RNAcentral. Lineage: Eukaryota; Metazoa; Arthropoda; Insecta; Psocodea; Trichodectidae.
AGUAGGAAUUUCAUGUGUGUGAAUUUUACACUGUAAAUGUAAAGGAGAUCUUAUAGAUCCCUACUA